UAUGGUAAAAUAGUAACGUUUCGUAUAUUUCUGCUAGUAUGGUGCAGAUGUUUCUACCCCAAGCCAGACACUUUGGGACUACGAAUCAGUUUUUGUAAUGA
This 101-nucleotide non-coding RNA is filed under the name Amedibacillus dolichus. RNAcentral's name for it is "Eubacterium dolichum Guanine sequence". It matches the Rfam family "Purine riboswitch aptamer". From Rfam's summary of the family: Riboswitches are metabolite binding domains within certain messenger RNAs that serve as precision sensors for their corresponding targets. RNAcentral also lists the same sequence under 1 other name. The record is from RNAcentral. Lineage: Bacteria; Bacillati; Bacillota; Erysipelotrichia; Erysipelotrichales; Erysipelotrichaceae.